This 127-nucleotide non-coding RNA is filed under the name Lewinella sp. 4G2. RNAcentral describes it as "SAM riboswitch aptamer (S box leader)". It matches the Rfam family "SAM riboswitch aptamer (S box leader)". Rfam says of the family: The SAM riboswitch is found upstream of a number of genes which code for proteins involved in methionine or cysteine biosynthesis in Gram-positive bacteria. The SAM riboswitch acts at the level of transcription termination control. RNAcentral also lists the same sequence under 1 other name. Lineage: Bacteria; Pseudomonadati; Bacteroidota; Saprospiria; Saprospirales; Lewinellaceae. The record is from Rfam by way of RNAcentral.
AUUUUAUAACGAAGGGUGGAGAGCACGGGCUCCCUGAAACCCUGGCAACCAUUCCUCCGAUGGCUUCGGAUGAAAAGGUGCCAAAUCCCGCCACCGCAGUGCGUUUUGCCCGGUGGAACUAUAAAAU